CCUACGGGAGGCUGCAGUGGGGGAUAUUGCACAAUGGGGGGAACCCUGAUGCAGCGACGCCGCGUGGGUGAAGAAGCGCCUCGGCGCGUAAAGCCCUGUCAGCAGGGAAGAAAAUGACGGUACCUGACGAAGAAGCCCCGGCUAACUACGUGCCAGCAGCCGCGGUAAUACGUAGGGGGCAAGCGUUAUCCGGAUUUACUGGGUGUAAAGGGGGCGCAGACGGCGAUGCAAGCCAGGAGUGAAAGCCCGGGGCCCAACCCCGGGACUGCUCUUGGAACUGCGUGGCUGGAGUGCAGGAGGGGCAGGCGGAAUUCCUGGUGUAGCGGUGAAAUGCGUAGAUAUCAGGAGGAACACCGGUGGCGAAGGCGGCCUGCUGGACUGCAACUGACGUUGAGGCCCGAAAGCGUGGGGAGCAAACAGGAUUAGAUACCCGAGUAGUC
Molecule: ribosomal RNA, 440 nt
Filed under: uncultured bacterium
Lineage: Bacteria
Description: partial 16S ribosomal RNA
Rfam family: Bacterial small subunit ribosomal RNA
Source: RNAcentral